RNAcentral lists this ribosomal RNA (448 nucleotides) under uncultured bacterium. RNAcentral's name for it is "bacterial SSU rRNA". It matches the Rfam family "Bacterial small subunit ribosomal RNA", at positions 330 to 792 of the family's 1533-position model. The record is from RNAcentral.
GCCAGACUCCUACGGGAGGCAGCAGUGGGGAAUAUUGGGCAAUGGGCGAAAGCCUGACCCAGCAAUGCCGCGUGAAUGAAGAAGGUCUUAGGAUUGUAAAAUUCUGUCCUAUGGGAAGAAACAAAUGACGGUACCAUAGGAGGAAGCCCCGGCUAACUACGUGCCAGCAGCCGCGGUAAUACGUAGGGGGCAAGCGUUAUCCGGAAUUACUGGGUGUAAAGGGUGAGUAGGCGGCAUGGUAAGCCAGAUGUGAAAGCCUUGGGCUUAACCCGAGGAUUGCAUUUGGAACUAUCAAGCUAGAGUGCGGGAGAGGAAAGCGGAAUUCCUAGUGUAGCGGUGAAAUGCGUAGAUAUUAGGAAGAGCACCAGUGGCGAAGGCGGCUUUCUGGACUGAAACUGACGCUGAGGCACGAAAGCGUGGGGAGCGAACAGGAUUAGAUACCCCAGUA